Non-coding RNA from Heterorhabditis bacteriophora, 2270 nucleotides. NCBI's taxonomy places the organism in Eukaryota, Metazoa, Nematoda, Chromadorea, Rhabditida, Heterorhabditidae. The record is from Rfam.
CAACCUGAGCUCAGUCGUGAUUACCCGCCGAACUUAAGCGUAUCAUUCAGCGGAGGAAAAGAAACUAACUAGGAUUCCCCAAGUAAUGGCGAAUGAAAGGGGAAGAGCCCAGCGCUGAAUCUCUCGGUCUUAGGCCGCUGAGAACUGUAGCGUAUAGGUGUGACUGUCUGCUAUAUUGCAUUUCCGAAGUCUCUUUGAUAGGGGCCAACAUCCAGAAAGGGUGCGAGACCUGUACGGAAAGUAGUAUAGUUGGUAUGGUUACUCCUUGGAGUCGGGUUGCUUGAAAGUGCAGCCUAAAGUUGGUGAUAAACUUCAUCUAAGGCUAAAUAUCGACGCGAAAUCGAUAGCAAACAAGUACCGUGAGGGAAAGUUGCAAAGAACUUUGAAGAGAGAGUUCAAGAGAACGUGAAAUCGCUGAAGUGGAACCGGAGAGAGUUAACAUAACUUGGUAGCUAUAUCCUCUAAAGUCGCUUAACUGUGGCUCUGGGGGGUGGACGCUACCUGUUGUUGCACUGACUGCGUUGAUUGUGCUUUCCGAACAGUAUAGUGUUGCCCACUUUGUGGUGUCUUGCUUUCUGGGAGGUUUGUCAUAAUUAACGUAAAGCCAAUUCCCUUUGGAGUCAGUGUGAAAGUUAACCACCUUUCCGACCCGUCUUGAAACACGGACCGAGGAGUGUAAUUUAUACGCGAGUCAAGGGGUGGUGAAAACCCUAGGGGCGGAAUGAAAGUAAAGGCCGGUUAACCGGUUGACAUGGGAUCCGCUCUUCGGAGCGGCGCACCAUGGCCCUGUCUUGUCUGCUUGCAGAUGGGCAGCGGUAGAGCGUAUAGUUUGCGACCCGAAAGAUGGUGAACUAUGCUUGAGCAGGACGAAGCCAGAGGAAACUCUGGUGGAAGUCCGUAUCGGUUCUGACGUGCAAAUCGAUCGAUAGACUUGGGUAUAGGGGCGAAAGACUAAUCGAACCGUCUAGUAGCUGGUUCCCUCCGAAGUUUCCCCCAGGAUAGCUGGAGUAGUGGUGCGUGGUUAUAUCCGGUAAAGCGAAUGAUUAGAGGACUUGGGGGCGAAACGAUCUCAACCUAUUCUCAAACUUUCAAUGGGUAUGAUGUCUCGGUUUCUUUAUUGAACUGUUGACAUGAACGUGUGCUCCAAGUGGGCCAUUUUUGGUAAGCAGAACUGGCGCUGUGGGAUGAACCAAACGCUGGGUUAAGGUGCCUAACUUUUCUCUCAUGAGACCCCAUAAAAGGCGUUGGUUGAUAUAGACAGCAGGACGGUGGCCAUGGAAGUCGGUACCCGCUAAGGAGUGUGUAACAACUCACCUGCCGAAUCAACUAGCCCUGAAAAUGGAUGGCGCUUGAGCGAAAGACCUAUACCCGGCCGUUACUGGCUUGUGCGAUGGCUAACGCCUGGCCGUAACGAGUAGGAGGGUCGUGGUGGUUGCGUUGAAGGCUUAGGGCGUAGGCCCGGCUGGAGCUUCCAUCAGUGCAGAUCUCGGUGGUAGUAGCAAAUAUUUAAGUUCGAUCCUUGAAGACUGAAGUGGGGAAGGGUUCCACGUGAACAGUAGUUGAAUGUGGGUCAGUCGAUCCUAAGAUACUGGCUUAUGCCUUGUAUCAUCGAGAGAGAGAAGUUUCUUCUCUCUCGGAUAUCGAAAGGGAAUAGAGUUAAUAUUCUCUAACGCAGACAUAGAGAUUGUGGCUCUUUGAGUUGCUUGCGCGGUAACGCAUUCGAACUCGGUAACGUCGCUUAGAGACCGAGCUAGAGUUUUCUUCUCUAGUUAAGGAACGGACUCCCUGGAAUCGGUUCAUCCGGAGAUAGGGACGUUGUUUCCGUAAAGCACCGCGGUUUCUGUGGUGUCUCGUGCUCUCUGAACGGCCCUUGAAAAACCGAGGGAGGCUAUUAAUCUAUGCUGCAUCGUACCGAUAUCCGCAUCAGGUCCUCAAGGUGAACAGCCUCUAGUCGAUAGAAUAAUGUAGGUAAGGGAAGUCGGCAAAUUAGAUCCGUAACUUCGGGAAAAGGAUUGGCUCCAGUGAUCGGGUCGGUUGGCCUGUUCACUGAUACUUGUAUGGUUUCGUUCGUGGCUGGCUGAUGCUAACGCUGAUGUCGGACUAGUGAUGAGACAGUCUUGUGGACGUUUAUAGGUGUGUGCUUUGCUUUCGAGCUUAGUAUCCUGACCGGCCAUUAAAACGGUCGAACUGGAACUGGUACGGACUCGGGGAAUCCGACUGUCUAAUUAAAACAGAGGAGACAGAUGGUCCUUGCGGACGUUUACUGUCUA